This 287-nucleotide ribosomal RNA is filed under the name uncultured soil bacterium. RNAcentral's name for it is "partial 16S ribosomal RNA". It matches the Rfam family "Bacterial small subunit ribosomal RNA", at positions 26 to 306 of the family's 1533-position model. The record is from RNAcentral.
AGGACGAACGCUGGCGGCGUGCUUAACACAUGCAAGUGGAGCGACGAACCAGGCUUCGGCCUGGGGCAGAGCCGCGAACGGGUGAGUAACACGUGGGUAACCUGCCUCGAUGACCGGGACAACCCGGAGGAAACCCGGGCUAAUACCGGAUGUGCUCCUUCACAUCAGUGAAGACAGGAAAGGAAGCUUCGGCCUCCGCAUCGAGAUGGGCCCGCGGCCCAUUAGCUUGUUGGUGAGGUAACGGCUCACCAAGGCUGCGAUGGGUAGCUGGUCUGAGAGGACGAUCA